Molecule: ribosomal RNA, 488 nt
Filed under: uncultured bacterium
Lineage: Bacteria
Description: bacterial SSU rRNA
Rfam family: Bacterial small subunit ribosomal RNA
Source: RNAcentral
GGCUCAGAUUGAACGCUGGCGGCAUGCCUUACACAUGCAAGUCGAACGGCAGCAUGGAGAGCUUGCUCUCUGAUGGCGAGUGGCGAACGGGUGAGUAAUGCAUCGGAACGUACCGUGUAAUGGGGGAUAACGUAGCGAAAGUUACGCUAAUACCGCAUACGACCUGAGGGUGAAAGCAGGGGAUCGCAAGACCUUGCGUUAUACGAGCGGCCUAUCAGCUUGUUGGUGAGGUAAUGGCUCACCAAGGCGACGACGGGUAGCCGGCCUGAGAGGGCGACCGGCCACACUGGGACUGAGACACGGUCCAGACUCCUACGGGAGGCAGCAGUGGGGAAUUUUGGACAAUGGACGCAAGUCUGAUCCAGCCAUUCCGCGUGCAGGAUGAAGGCCCUCGGGUUGUAAACUGCUUUUGUACGGAACGAAAAGGUUUCUAUUAAUACUAGGAGCUCAUGACGGUACCGUAAGAAUAAGCACCGGCUAACUACGUG